AUUCGAUGCCCACCUAAAAGCGGUAGUCAAUUUUUCUGCUACAAAAAAUUUUUUUCUAUUGUAUUGUUAGCAGUGUGUGAUGCCCGAUAUCGGUUUACCUAUAUAGAUAUUGGUGCAUAUGGAAGUCAGAGUGAUGGUGGUAUUUUUCAAGUGAGUCGAUUGGGAAUGAGGUUAUGAGAUCAUAAACUUCCCAUCCCUCCAGCGAAAAACUUACCAAAUACGCAACUAAAAACUCCACACUUCUUCGUUGGUGAUGCUGCCUUUCCUUUAGGGACAAAUUUAAUGCGCCCAUACCCUGGGGGAAUGCUACCAAAUGAAAAGAGGUGUUUAAUAAAAGGUUAUCAAGAGCUCGUCGCACAAUUGAAAACUCUUUUGGAAUACUAGUAGCGCGUUGGCGAGUUUUACUAACAACAUUACAUUUAUUUCCUGAAAAUGCAGAAAAAAUUGUUUUAGCGUGCGUUGCCUUACAUAAUUUUAUUAUGUUUAACAACGUUAAUGCAUCUUCGUAUAUUGCAAGCAACUAUGCUGAUUGGGAGGACUCUAAUGGUGAUUUUCAUGACGGUUUAUGGCGUAGAGAAGUUGAAAGUAAUAUCCCAUCGAUUAUGCAAUCUUCCAAUUUGCAUCAUUACGGUGGAAGAAGUUCUGUGGAAAUUAGAAACAACUUAUGCAGUUUUUUAACACUUUUUAAAACAUAUUCUAAAAUCACAUAUCUAACAUCAUUUCGAACUUGUUUAUUUCUUUUUUAAUAAAACUAAAUGGAGUUUAAUUAAAUUCA
Molecule: long non-coding RNA, 775 nt
Organism: Bactrocera neohumeralis
Lineage: Eukaryota; Metazoa; Arthropoda; Insecta; Diptera; Tephritidae
Exons: 2
Source: RefSeq, a predicted model, not a curated record